Molecule: ribosomal RNA, 99 nt
Filed under: uncultured bacterium
Lineage: Bacteria
Description: partial 16S ribosomal RNA
Rfam family: Bacterial small subunit ribosomal RNA
Source: RNAcentral
UACACACCGCCCGUCACACCAUGGGAGUUGGUUCUACCUGAAGACGGUGCGCUAACCACAAGGAGGCAGCCGGCCACGGUAGGGUCAGCGACUGGGGUG